GGCAAGUCUCACGCACGCAUCGCGCACGCACACACGCGCUAACCUUUAUCUUAUCAUUGACGAAAACGUAUCGAGGUUGACUGCUGCAGUAUUGGCACCAAGAGACUCUACGACGACGACGACUCAAUACAACAAAUUUUCAAAGUAAGUGCCAACUCGUUCUCCAUUAUCGAUCAAAGGCCUCUCUGCAUUAAGAUAGGUAGAAGGUCCAUCCGGAAGAGUCCAAUGAUCCAGAUGGAAGAGAUGACAAUUAUAAGCCGACCCUUGAGGAGCGCCACGAUAGAGAAAAGAUCUACAAAGGAACUCGUUUUCGAUUUCGCAGGCUAAUCUGCAAGCGGACUCGCUCUGAACUUGCAAUUCCUUGUCGGUGUAAUAAUGUAGGCCUGCGUAUUGUGCAACUUUAUCGUCCGCUACGCCGAUUCUGGGCAUUUGGAAAAUCCUUUGAUACCUGCAGGCCUCUUUUCCUGUGAGCCGAAUGGAAAUGAAACGGGAAUCUUUUUCCGCUUCCUCCUCUUUUCUCCGGAGAUCGUCAAACGUUCGAUGCGAUCAUUGAAUCUCAGAAAGGUCCCGAUAAAGCUGAUCUUUUCACGAAAGCAGGCAUUUCCUUCAAGAACUUUAAAAAGCCUCCUUUUCAUUCAUGUCCUUUGAUAAUUGCGACUGCACAGAGAUUAGCGACAGUUUUGCGCACAUUUAAAGACAUCUACGAUGAUAAAGACAUUGGACGAUUCGUUAACUGAUAUUAAAGAAUCCUUUUUAAAAUCCAAGAAAGUCCUUCUUGGCCUUUUGGAACAAUCAGCCUCAUCCUGCAGGAAGUUUUUUAUGACGGUCAUUCUCUUUAAACGCAUUCACCAUGAUCCCACAGGUACCAGCAGAUGUGUUUGUCCAACCAGUCGUUCUCACUAGAUUUUCUUCGGUGAAAAGUGAAAACUAUUUUGCGCGAAUACAAAGGGCGAGAAACGGACAAAGGCGACUACUACCUGACAAAGUGCGAGAAGUGUUUUCAUAUUUCCUUAUAUUUCCUUGCGAAAGAAAAUCGCCUGAAUCAAUAUAUAACUUUAACCUGAUUUUAUAAUUAUUGCUAUAAUGAUUAU
Molecule: long non-coding RNA, 1091 nt
Organism: Formica exsecta
Lineage: Eukaryota; Metazoa; Arthropoda; Insecta; Hymenoptera; Formicidae
Exons: 3
Source: RefSeq, a predicted model, not a curated record